ACUUAUAAGACGAGAAGACCCCAUGGAGCUUCAAACCCCGCUACACCCCGAUCUCUAUAACCCACUUAACCCACACGGACCCCUGUAUAGCUGGUUUUCGGUUGGGGCGACCACGGAGUACAACAAAACCUCCACAAUGAACGGGACUAAUCCCUCACCUAAGGCCCACACCCCUAAGAAUUAGAAUACUAACAUAAAGUGAUCCAUUAUUUGAUCAAUGAACCAAGUUACCCUGGGGAUAACAGCGCAAUCCACUUCAAGAGCCCCUAUCGACAAG
This 277-nucleotide ribosomal RNA is filed under the name Mantidactylus aerumnalis. Its description in RNAcentral is "partial 16S ribosomal RNA". It matches the Rfam family "Bacterial large subunit ribosomal RNA", at positions 2076 to 2512 of the family's 2925-position model. The record is from RNAcentral. Lineage: Eukaryota; Metazoa; Chordata; Amphibia; Anura; Mantellidae.